RNAcentral lists this ribosomal RNA (252 nucleotides) under uncultured bacterium. Its description in RNAcentral is "partial 16S ribosomal RNA". It matches the Rfam family "Bacterial small subunit ribosomal RNA", at positions 524 to 776 of the family's 1533-position model. The record is from RNAcentral.
UACGGGGGGGCAAGCGUUGUUCGGAAUUACUGGGCGUAAAGGGCUCGUAGGUGGCCAACUAAGUCAGACGUGAAAUCCCUCGGCUUAACCGGGGAACUGCGUCUGAUACUGGAUGGCUAGAGUUUGGGAGAGGGAUGCGGAAUUCCAGGUGUAGCGGUGAAAUGCGUAGAUAUCUGGAGGAAUACCGGUGGCGAAGGCGGCAUCCUGGACCGACAUUGACGCUGAACGGCGAAAGCUAGGGGAGCAAACGGG